CUAUUCGUUUGACUUCUACAUUUACUUCGCCUCCACCAGAUGGCUAGCAAACAGAUUGGAGUCAGCACUCGCUCAUCUGUUCUAGAUCCAGUAUGUUAUUUAGCUCAUUAAAAUUGUUGGUGUUGAUGAUAAUUUGGUGCUCUUUUUGAUGCUUUGACAUGGAUUGGAGCAAAGAGAAGAGUCACAGGAAGGUGCUUUGGAGGAAGAGCUCAACAAAAUAAUUUCUUACUCCAUGGAGCAUUUCUUACUAAAUCUCAAAAUCCUCUCAAUUCUUGUUGUUCUCAGUUCAUAGCCCGUCAGACAAAUAUGCAUGCCCAGACACGCACUAUCUUCAGUUUAGUACCUUCACGAGUAGAGGACAGAUUAGGGUAGCGACUUUUAGGUUGCAGUUUGGUGGCCUGAUAGGGUAGAUUGCUUGAUGUUCUUUUAAGUUCUUGCAGUUAAUCAUUAACAGUGUGGUUCUACAGUUUGAUCCGAGAUGGAUGCCUUUGUUCUGCAGUUUGGUGGCCUGAUAGGGUACAUGGCCACAAGGACAACUGAAUCAAUUUCUUACUUAAAGUCUGUGAGAUUAACUCGUGCAUGUGUUUCUGAACAGGGCAUGUAAUUAAGCUCCUAUUCCUGAUAGCCUACAACCGAUUUGAUUGGCUUGUGUAUGUUGCUUACAGGCUUGACUGAAUAUAAUUUACAGUAAAGAGCUUAUUUGGUUGAACCAUAUUUUACUUUGGGAGAAGAGAGAAGGCAUUUGUGUAUUUUCUUGCCAGCAGUAGCUAACUGUACUAUAGUAGAUCAUAUGCAGAGCUGGAAGGUGCAGUUGUUCCAAAUCUGGUAUUGUGCUAAUACUUCUAUCCAAGCUGCCAUGAGAAAAUGAUCCUCAUUAGUUCGAGAGGAUUUUGAGAUUUAGUAUUGCUUGUACGAGUGAUUCCUUUCUCAGUGUCACUUUCAAUAUGUUUCCUUUCUUUUCAUCCCUGUAGCGUAGAAUGGCAAGUGACAUACUGUAAUUACAUUUUUGUAAGGGAUGUCGGCAUGUUAACAUACUUCGCUGGAGUGCGUUAAUUUGACCUUUUGGGACAUCUCUAUAAUUUUUUACUUUGACCGUUUUCGUUGCUUAGGCUGCAGGACAUCAUGGUGGUGGUGGACCUCGUGGUGAUCAGAGGAGUGCAGGAGGAGAUGUGUUUAAAUGGUUAGCAAGACCGUUCGGUCUGAAUAAAUCUCAAAAAGCGGCAAAGGAUGAUUCAGGGGUCACUAUUGAGGAAGAAAUUAGAUGGUGGAGCUCACACUGAGAGGUAUGACCUGAAGGGAGGAUGAAGGAUAUGUUGAUGUGCUUCGAUGGUUGAGGCGGGUGUCACGGCCAUGGUUCUUCCUUUCUGCCACUGAUGGCACCGGAUGGCAUCGACGGCAUGCAGGUAAACCUUGACUAGCAGUAACGAGGUAGCAUGCAUGUCAUUUCUCAUGUUCUUUGCCCAUUUGUGUCAGAUUUCAGUUCCUUUUAUUUUCCAGAUCAUUCUAAGUUGUAGUGUAAUAUGAUGAUGGUUGUUUGUGCCUAUAGCAAGGAUGACAGAUUAAGCUUGAAAUUAAUCCGUCAGACUAUUGUUUGUGUUUCCUGUUUCUUUCUUUAGGUAGCAUCCUGGAACUGUAAUGUGGUGUGCAAUGUCUCAAACAUUUGUUAUGUAAAAGAAAUGUUGGCAUUUUGAGCUUGAAGAAUGCACUGUUAUUUUGCCUCCACAUUCUCCUGGAUUUGUGCCAAAAUUGUACUACUAUUUUCCAGUUGCUCCUUAUUUUGGUAGGAACUGGAGUUUUCGGAUGCCAAGUGUAUGCAUGUGUUACACAUGGAGUUCUUAAUUGUUGAAUUUGUUGGUCCUUUUUCACUGCUUUAGCUCUUUGUUCCAUUGUAGGAGCUAUCAACUCACUUUUCAUGUAUUUUGGUUACUGGAAAAUUUAUUGAGACUCAAGAAUCAAGACAAAGGCAACAAAAUUCCGAAGGUGGUAAUUUUUUGUUCCCAUAUGUGAAUGAGUGAAUACUAAUUGCUGCAAAUCUGUACUAGCCAUCCGAUACUUUGCAGAUUGCCUAUAUUAAAGCAUGGUUAGUGCGUAGUUCUGAGUUUCUGGUUCUCAUCUGCUUUCCAUUCUUGAGUGCUUUAGCCAUCAUUGUUUGAAACGUCUUAAAGCCUAAUGUUACAAUGAUAUGAUAGCCCAGAGGGAGUACUUAGCGGGAGCGAACUAGGUGGAGGCGUGAAUUGAGGGAAGGCUGGCGGCGCGGGAGCGAGCGUGGGUCACGACGCAGCUGAGCGGUCACCAGCGUCUCUUUGCCGGCUAUAGGGGAGGCGAAGAUGUUUGGACAAGCAGGCAAGGGAGGAGGACCAGGGAAGGCGCAGCAGCAGCGAGGCCAUGGGGAAAGGGAAAGAGGCCAGUGGGAGGCUUUCUGAGCCAUGACGCAAACCAUGUCCAUCUCCUCCUGACGGCUCUGCACCGACAUGGCAGGUCCGCCGCGGCUCCGACAACUCUCCUCAGAGAUGACGCCGCUUCCUCGUAGCGCUGAUGGCGACAACGACGGCCAUCUUCGGUCGACCCGGUUGCCUAGCGGCCACCGACAUAGGUAUGAGCCUAGGAAACAUCUCCUCCCCUGAGACUCACCCUUCCUUUGCCUCAGAUCUGUCUGUCACGAUGGCUUUUCUGGCUCGUUUUCCUCCGGGAGGUACCUCAUGGCCAUAACUUGGGAACCAAAGAGAACACACAUAACUUUUCUCCUCUGCCUCAGAUCCGUCUGUCACGAUGGGCUUUCUGAAUCUAGGGAACCGAAUAGACCCUGAGACAAUCUACAAAUCUUGGCGCAUAACUUUUCUCCUAGCUAAUAAAUACAUAUGCAUCUUUUUCAGCAUUGGGUUGCACACACAAUUCAUCCAUAAUAGAUGCUCCAAGCAGCACAAUGCAUUACAUUAUUUCAAGUCAGGGACUUCUAAAAGUCAGAAACGCUUCUGAUAUUACGAAGAUGGUAAAAAGUUCAAUAAUAAUCGGUUGAGGCCAUCAAGGUAUAGUAUAUUUUCCCCAUUAUAUCUUGUUUGUUUUAUCCGAAAAACGUUAUAUAUGCGCAUACAAAAGUUAUCUUCCUGAAUGUAGAGCUGUAAACCAUGCACCAAAUGUUUGAAGCCUGGCUUGGUCUUCUGGAGAAGGGUUCGCUAGAAGUUCAUUGGAGCAUGGGUUUCCCUGCAAUAGACAUACAUGUAGUAGCAUCCAAGAUUCCAAAGCCCCAUCUUUAUGGGAAACCUGCAAAAGAUGAUGGUUUGCUUUUCUUUGUGUACACUACUAUAUUUUGAAGUCAUUCAGUUAUCCUA
This is a long non-coding RNA of Lolium rigidum, 3329 nucleotides long. RefSeq lists it as uncharacterized. The record is from RefSeq and is a predicted model, not a curated record. The transcript has 3 exons. NCBI's taxonomy places the organism in Eukaryota, Viridiplantae, Streptophyta, Magnoliopsida, Poales, Poaceae.